AGCGUUAUCCGGAAUUAUUGGGCGUAAAGCGCCUGUAGGUUGUUUAAUAAGUCUGUUGUUAAAGACUAGGGCUUAACCCUGGAAAAGCAAUAGAAACUACUAGACUAGAGUAUGGCAGGGGUAGAGGGAAUUUCUAGUGUAGCGGUGAAAUGCGUAGAUAUUAGAAAGAACACCAGUGGCGAAAGCGCUCUACUGGACCAUUACUGACACUCAGAGGCGAAAGCUAGGGUAGCAAAAGGGAUUAGAUACCCCUGUAGUCUUAGCUGUAAACGAUGGAUACUAGAUGUUGUGCAUAAUGUACAGUAUCGUAGCUAACGCGUUAAGUAUCCCGCCUGGGGAGUACGCUCGCAAGGGUGAAACUCAAAGGAAUUGACGGGGGCCCGCACAAGCGGUGGAGCAUGUGGUUUAGUUCGAUGCAACGCGAAGAACCUUACCAGGGCUUGACAUACUACAAGUUCUUUUGAAAAAAAGAAGUGCCUUCGGGAAUGUAGAUACAGGUGGUGCAUGGCUGUCGUCAGCUCGUGUCGUGAGAUGUUGGGUUAAGUCCCGCAACGAGCGCAACCCUUAUUUUUAGUUACUAACUUGUUAGGUUUUCUAGAAAGACUGCCGGUGAUAAACCGGAGGAAGGUGAGGAUGACGUCAAGUCAGCAUGCCCCUUAUGUCCUGGGCUACACACGUGCUACAAUGGUUAAGACAAAGAGUUGCGAACUCGCGAGAGUCAGCUAAUCUCAUAAACUUAGCCUAAGUUCAGAUUGUAGGCUGCAAC
RNAcentral lists this ribosomal RNA (766 nucleotides) under uncultured marine haptophyte. RNAcentral's name for it is "bacterial SSU rRNA". It matches the Rfam family "Bacterial small subunit ribosomal RNA", at positions 537 to 1311 of the family's 1533-position model. Lineage: Eukaryota; Haptophyta. The record is from RNAcentral.